Non-coding RNA from Oryza brachyantha (malo sina), 190 nucleotides. The record is from Rfam. NCBI's taxonomy places the organism in Eukaryota, Viridiplantae, Streptophyta, Magnoliopsida, Poales, Poaceae.
AAUAAGUUUAUUUUUCGUUUUUUCGUGUUCAACGUUCAAUCAUUCGUCUUAUUUAAAAAAUUUAUAAAAAACUUAAAAAAAUUAGUCACGUAUAAAAUAUUAUUUAUAUUUUAUUAUCUAGUAGCAAUAAAAAUAUUAAUCACAAAAAAUUUUCAAAUAAGACGAAUGAUCAAAUAUUGGACAUGGAAAA